CAAAAUUAUCUUAAAAUCAAACCCACUUACCUUUUCAGGGUUUUAAACACCAUCUCAUGGUCUUCAUCAGUGAACGGACCAGGCACUGGUACAGCGUUGCAGCUCAUCAGGAAUUCCUGCAACAGAAGAAUCUUUGACGCACUAUGCAUACCUGCUCCAGGCUGCGCUGUUUAUUCUCCUUGGAUUAACUUCCCCAAACGUCCACCCUCCUCCUCCUCCUCAUCUUCCUCCUCCUCUCCCACCUCCACACAGGGAAAGAAAAAACAACUAGAGACACUUGGCUCUUCAUCAUAUUGCAAAUCUGCUCUGACUGAGCUUGUAAACGCACACACACACACACACACACACACACACACACACACACACACACACACACACACACACUCACACACACACACACACACUCACAAAAUCAAGCUUUUUGCCACUGUUCCUCUCCGGCCCCCUCUGCAUUAGCAUGGAAGUCAUCCAUAUUGAUGUUAGGUGAUUCAUGUGCUGCCAGCCUCUUUGUUUUAUCUUUUUUUCCUUGCCUCCUCGCCCUCUUUACCCAGGCAAAGCUUUCUGGGGAUCAGGGGGGUGAUUAAGGCGAGGAGAGAUGGAGGAGUGGUUGACCGAGGACCCCAGGGUGGUGGGGGUGGAGGUGGGCAGGUUUGUAGCCCCGGUCCCCCUGGUGAUGAGGUGGAGCCUAAUUGAUUUGUCAAUGUGGAGCCAUCUGGCACAGAAAGAUGGGCCUCCAACCUGUUCUCCUUCCUGAGGUGGGAGGGGAUGGGGGGUGGCAUCAGGAGAGUCAGGUUGGAUUACACACACGACACACUCCUUGGGAUUUUAUGAUAUCUCUUAUUCUUUCACCCACACACUCACCUUUGUUACAAAGUGUGUCUUCCUUUGCUUCUUUUUCUAGAUCAUUUACUAAUCCAGUGCACUGGUUCCGCCUCCCAGCACACACCCAGUGAAUGAUGAUGGGGACAGACGGCAUCACAGAGCCCGGAGGGGUGGGCCCCCAGCCAAAAAGGAAACAGACAUGUCUCUUAACCCUGGUCUCUUAAGCCCGGGUGGGGAUCAAAAGGUCAGGGGGUACUGAUGGACGCCGGCGCAGAAACGAAGCCUCUGGUGUCUU
Molecule: long non-coding RNA, 1117 nt
Filed under: Dicentrarchus labrax (European seabass)
Lineage: Eukaryota; Metazoa; Chordata; Actinopteri; Moronidae
Description: lncRNA (ENSDLAG00005031408.1)
Source: RNAcentral